AUGCUGCUUGUGCCCAAAGCCUUCGUCAUAGUUGCCUUUGGACUUGAAGAGUUGGUUGAAGUGAGGCUUACAAUAGAUUCUUCCGUGUAAGGAUGCAUAUGUUCCUAGACUGUCACCAAAAGAGAAGACACCAAGUGAGGCAGGUACAGGCCUGUCAUUGGACGAGAAGGAAGGAUGGGCAGGAGAAAAGUUUGAAGGAAGAGGAGGAGACGGGAGAGAAGCCGCCCGGAGAGAACAUGGAAGCUAAUGUUAAGACUCCACGCUGCACCUUUACAGGCUGUUAUGAAUGUUCUUAAGGGAUGGGUGUGUACUGGGCUUUGUAUGUCUAGGUGGGCAAUUAUAUCUUAUCAACUGGAUCAGA
Non-coding RNA from Rattus norvegicus (Norway rat), 361 nucleotides. NCBI's taxonomy places the organism in Eukaryota, Metazoa, Chordata, Mammalia, Rodentia, Muridae. The record is from RefSeq and is a predicted model, not a curated record.